Molecule: non-coding RNA, 29 nt
Filed under: Rattus norvegicus (Norway rat)
Lineage: Eukaryota; Metazoa; Chordata; Mammalia; Rodentia; Muridae
Source: RNAcentral
UGACUUUCAUGACUCAUGGUAUCCUGGGC